AGCUCUUUCAUUUUUCAUUGACCGCCAAAUAACUCUAGCCAAAACUCAAAUUUCCCCCUUCUUCACCAGCAAAAGUGAAAAAUGGGCAAUUUCAGAAACCUAGCAGCCGCCUCCAACACUCACUCUCCCUAUGCAUUUCAUUUGGGUAGCAGAGAAAAUGCAUAUUUGUCAAUUGUGCAUUUUACUUGCGGUGAUUUGGUUGUGCAGGUUCUGUCAUGAAGCAUCAACUAUGAUGAGUACUUGGACGAGAACAAGUCAUUGAUUCUGAAGAUCGUUGAGAGCCAGAAUACAGGGAAAUUGAGUGAAUGCGCAGAGUGAGCAUUUAGUUCUGUUUUUCUGUUCUUAUUUCAUUACUGUCUGUCAUGUAUUGUCUUCUUACUUGAUGUAUUUGAUUUUACACAUUGACUAAAACUUUGUUUUGGAAAUAGAACUAGCUCUGUUCUUGUUUUGGCAGGAUAAACAAACAAUGUUAUUGUUAAUGGGAAAUAGCAGCAGCCCAUCAUUAGUGAAGAUUCAAAGGAAGCUAUGAAGCAUGCAUUCGAACUCUUUAAUGUUCGAUUGGAAGUAGACUUUGGGACUAGUGAUAUAGGACAUAGCUUAGGAUUGUAAUGAAUAUUUGUAAUUUAUUACAUUUGUCUUUUGUUAAUGAUGAUAUAUACUAUUCUUCGAACAACAAUUUUUCAA
Long non-coding RNA from Prunus dulcis (almond), 684 nucleotides. RefSeq lists it as uncharacterized. The record is from RefSeq and is a predicted model, not a curated record. The transcript has 3 exons. Lineage: Eukaryota; Viridiplantae; Streptophyta; Magnoliopsida; Rosales; Rosaceae.